UGGGGAAUUUUGGACAAUGGGCGAAAGCCUGAUCCAGCAAUGCCGCGUGUGUGAAGAAGGCCUUCGGGUUGUAAAGCACUUUUGUCCGGAAAGAAAUCCUUGGCUCUAAUACAGUCGGGGGAUGACGGUACCGGAAGAAUAAGCACCGGCUAACUACGUGCCAGCAGCCGCGGUAAUACGUAGGGUGCAAGCGUUAAUCGGAAUUACUGGGCGUAAAGCGUGCGCAGGCGGUUUGCUAAGACCGAUGUGAAAUCCCCGGGCUCAACCUGGGAACUGCAUUGGUGACUGGCAGGCUAGAGUAUGGCAGAGGGGGGUAGAAUUCCACGUGUAGCAGUGAAAUGCGUAGAGAUGUGGAGGAAUACCGAUGGCGAAGGCAGCCCCCUGGGCCAAUACUGACGCUCAUGCACGAAAGCGUGGGGAGCAAAACAGGAUUAGAUACCCCUGGUAGUCCACGCCCUAAACGAUGUCAACUAGUUGUUGGGGGAUUCAUUUCCUUAGUAACGUAGCUAACGCGUGAAGUUGACCGCCUGGGGAGUACGGUCGCAAGAUUAAAACUCAAAUGAAUUGACGGGGUCAUAGCUGUUUCCU
RNAcentral lists this ribosomal RNA (588 nucleotides) under uncultured bacterium. Its description in RNAcentral is "partial 16S ribosomal RNA". It matches the Rfam family "Bacterial small subunit ribosomal RNA", at positions 355 to 1375 of the family's 1533-position model. The record is from RNAcentral.